GAUGAACGCUGGCGGCGUGCCUAAUACAUGCAAGUCGAGCGAACAGACGAGGAGCUUGCUCCUCUGAUGUUAGCGGCGGACGGGUGAGUAACACGUGGAUAACCUACCUAUAAGACUGGGAUAACUUCGGGAAACCGGAGCUAAUACCGGAUAACAUGUUGAACCGCAUGGUUCAACAGUGAAAGACGGUCUUGCUGUCACUUAUAGAUGGAUCCGCGCCGCAUUAGCUAGUUGGUAAGGUAACGGCUUACCAAGGCAACGAUGCGUAGCCGACCUGAGAGGGUGAUAGGACAGCAGGAAAGUGAGACAGGGUCCAGACACAAGAGGGAGGCAGCAGUGGGGAAUAUGCCGAAAUGGGCGAAGGCCUGACAGAGCAGAGCCGCGGGGAUGAAGAAGGGUUUCGGAUCGUACAACUGUGUUAUUAGGAAAGAACAAAUAUGUAAGGAACUAUGGCCGUCUUGACGGUACCUAAUCAGAAAGCCGCGGCUAACUACGUG
Molecule: ribosomal RNA, 497 nt
Filed under: uncultured bacterium
Lineage: Bacteria
Description: partial 16S ribosomal RNA
Rfam family: Bacterial small subunit ribosomal RNA
Source: RNAcentral